CGGUACGUACUGGCAUCGUCGGUUUCUCCCUUCUGACGAACCAUGAUGUCAUUUAUUUGGUGUUGUGGGGAAUCAGGACUGUUACUUUGAAAAAAUUAGAGUGUUUAAAGCAGGCUCACGCUUGAAUACAUUAGCAUGGAAUAAUGAAAUAGGAUGUUUGAUUCUAUUUUGUUGGUUUCUAGGAUCGACGUAAUGAUUAAUAGGGAUAGUUGGGGGCAUUAGUAUUCAAUUGUCAGAGGUGAAAUUCUUGGAUUCAUUGAAGACUAACUACUGCGAAAGCAUUUGCCAAGGAUGUUUUCAUUAAUCAAGAACGAAAGUUAGGGGAUCGAAGACGAUCAGAUACCGUCGUAGUCUUAACCAUAAACUAUGCCGACUAGGGAUCGGAUGAUGUUAAUUUUUUAAUGACUCAUUCGGC
Molecule: ribosomal RNA, 415 nt
Filed under: uncultured Glomeromycotina
Lineage: Eukaryota; Fungi; Glomeromycota
Description: SSU rRNA
Rfam family: Eukaryotic small subunit ribosomal RNA
Source: RNAcentral